UCUAUACUAUUAAUUGGGAAUCAUUAAAACAUAAGUAACCCUAUUUUGGUAGAAUAUUUACAAAUACCAUUGAAAAUUUGAAUAUAAAGAAACAAAAAAAAUUCACGUGGAAGGGUAGAAAAUUUUUUCCCAUUUUAAGAAACACGCGGAUCUUGGAUCUUCAAUCGGAUCUUCUAAUAUUACAAACAAAACAACACGCGGAUCUAUAUUUGCUGAGUUGGAUGAUCCGAAUAACAGUCCCUCUCAAUAUUAAUGGGUUGGAUGACAUUUUAGAUGGGCUUCAUAUUUGACAAAUGGGCUUCGCCGACUAUCACAACCUCACAAUUAAUUCCAAUAUUGUUUGAGAUACUCUGGAUAUUAAUGACACAUAAACAAAAUGGUUAGUUAUCAUUCAAAAAGAUUUCCAUAACAAACAAAAUCAUUCAAUAUCCAUAACUACAUAAAUUUCAACAGAUUUCCAUAACAAACAAAUCCUCGACAAUCUUUUUAGCCCAAUUUAUCAUAAUCACGAUUUCCCAAUUUAUAUCUAAACAAAUUAUUUAUCUUAACAAAAAAAUUCAAUUACCAAACUCUAUUAAAAACUAGAUAUUGAUAUAUGUUUAAAUCGAGAAUAUACCCUAAAAUUCGAGCAUCUACCUUAUACGUUUGUUGAUUUAAUUCUCUAAACCCUAAAAUCUUCUUACCUCUCUCAACUCAUAUAAAUAGACGCCUAAUGUGAAAGUUCAGAAACACGCUAACCUUUCAUAAAAGCAUUCUUCACUUUUUACUAUUUCGUAACCAUGGCUCAAAAUCACGGUAUCACCACCCUUGCUGAUGUGAGACCUUUCAAGACGAAUUGGAAGAUCCAAGUGAAAAUUCCUAGACACAAUACAUGCAAUUCACUGGUGAAACAACAGAAAUGAUCCUUGCAGAUCAGGCUGUAAGUAUAGAUUAUGUGCUUCAUUAUAUCUUAAGAUUCUUUACUAAUUACAACUAGGAUCGGACCCGCGGUCCACCGCGG
Molecule: long non-coding RNA, 1000 nt
Filed under: Arabidopsis lyrata
Lineage: Eukaryota; Viridiplantae; Streptophyta; Magnoliopsida; Brassicales; Brassicaceae
Description: long non-coding RNA (ALYR_LNC002278)
Source: RNAcentral